GACGAACGCUGGCGGCGUGCUUAACACAUGCAAGUCGAACGGAAAGGCCCUGCUUGCAGGGUAUUCGAGUGGCGAACGGGUGAGUAACACGUGGGUGAUCUGCCCUGCACUUCGGGAUAAGCCUGGGGAACUGGGUCUAAUACCGGAUAGGAGCCAUUUUUAGUGUGAUGGUUGGAAAGUUUUUUCGGUGUAGGAUGAGCUCGCGGCCUAUCAGCUUGUUGGUGGGGUAAUGGCCUACCAAGGCGGCGACGGGUAGCCGGCCUGAGAGGGUGGACGGCCACAUUGGGACUGAGAUACGGCCCAGACUCCUACGGGAGGCAGCAGUGGGGAAUAUUGCACAAUGGGCGCAAGCCUGAUGCAGCGACGCCGCGUGGGGGAUGACGGCCUUCGGGUUGUAAACUCCUUUCGCUAGGGACGAAGCUUUUUGUGACGGUACCUAGAUAAGAAGCACCGGCUAACUACGUG
This 465-nucleotide ribosomal RNA is filed under the name uncultured bacterium. RNAcentral's name for it is "partial 16S ribosomal RNA". It matches the Rfam family "Bacterial small subunit ribosomal RNA", at positions 28 to 507 of the family's 1533-position model. The record is from RNAcentral.